Molecule: long non-coding RNA, 747 nt
Organism: Gallus gallus (chicken)
Lineage: Eukaryota; Metazoa; Chordata; Aves; Galliformes; Phasianidae
Exons: 4
Source: RefSeq, a predicted model, not a curated record
GUGAUGCCAAGAGAAGAGGUAGGCACCAGAACAGGCUGCUGGACUGGAGACUCCACCACCAGGUGCCGUUGUCAUUCCUGACCUCCCCAGGUUGCGGCGUUGGACGUGCCCUGAUCCUUGGAAAGGGGUAAGAGAGCUGUAUUUCAUUAUCAGAAGGUGAUCUCUACUUACCUUGUCUUGUGUCCAUCAGGAGGCAGUGGAGAGUUGUGACCCUCCCGAGUGCUGCAAAGGCUCUACUGAGGCAUUUGGUGGACACAGCAGGAACCUGCACGCACAGAUGGAUGCCAAGAUCCGCUCCUUCCUCUGUCUGGCAAGCUCUGCUGACCCCUGAGGCUGCCAACUGAUCCCUCUCGUGUCUGCAGUAACCCGAAUGUAGUCUAGUAAGGUUUGCUCAAGUGAGAUGGAAAAUGAAGAGGUAGGCUCCAAAACAGACUUGCGUAUUGGAGACUUACCCACCACAUGGUGAUGCCUUCCCUGACCUCCUUGAUUGCAGUGUGGGGAUGUGCCCUGAUCCUUGGAAAGGGGUGAGUGAUUCCUUCAUCCUUACUAGAAGGUAAUCUCUACUUACCUUUUCUUGUGUCCAGCAGGUGGCACUGGAGAGUUGUGACCCUGCUGAGCAGUGCAAGGACUCUACUGAGGCUCUUGGUGGACACAGCGAGAACCCACACCCAUAGGUGGAUGCCAAUAUCUAUUCCUUCCUGUCUGGCAAGCUCUGUUGUCCCCUGAGGUCGUUCCCGUGCUUGCCGA